UACAGAGGUCUCAAGCGUUGUUCGGAUUCAUUGGGCGUAAAGGGUGCGUAGGUGGCGCCGUAAGUUCAGGUGUGAAAAUUUCGGAGCUUAACUCCGAAACUGCAUUUGAUACUGCGGUGCUUGAGGACUGGAGAGGAGACUGGAAUUUACGGUGUAGCAGUGAAAUGCGUAGAGAUCGUAAGGAAGACCAGUGGCGAAGGCGGGUCUCUGGACAGUUCCUGACAGCUGAGGCACGAAGGCCCAGGGGAGCAAACGGG
This 257-nucleotide ribosomal RNA is filed under the name uncultured bacterium. Its description in RNAcentral is "partial 16S ribosomal RNA". It matches the Rfam family "Bacterial small subunit ribosomal RNA", at positions 524 to 776 of the family's 1533-position model. The record is from RNAcentral.